AUGCAGGUUAACGUCCGGUAUGAUGAAUCGGAUCCAUCUCGCGUUCGUACAUCAUCAGUGUCUCGAGCAUGAUGGGGGUACGUACCUGUUACGAAACACAGAUGUGCCUGUGUAUGAGAGUCAUGUUAAGCAGAUCAAAUCCCAACGGGUUAGGCCCAUGUGGUCGAACAUCUGAUCAUAGGGGAGGUUAUCGGUCGGAUUUCACUACUUUUUUUCUCUUUGGUUCAGUGUCGAGUGUCGAUGUUGGAC
This 249-nucleotide long non-coding RNA is filed under the name Musa acuminata (dwarf banana). RNAcentral describes it as "long non-coding RNA (MACU_LNC006162)". Lineage: Eukaryota; Viridiplantae; Streptophyta; Magnoliopsida; Zingiberales; Musaceae. The record is from RNAcentral.